CUUGAACUCAUGAACUGCAAGAUCAUGGCCUGAGCCAAAGUCUGACACUCAACUGACUGAGCUAUGCAGGCACCCCUCCCCUUGCCUGGUUCUGCUCUUGAUCUUGAGCUCUGACAGCUAUGGAACCUUGGGCAAGUUACUUGCCCUUGUCUUCAAGCCUGUUUCUUCAUCUGCCAACUGGGGAUGACAAUAAAAGUACCAACACUUGUUGGGUUAUGAGAAUUAACUGUGAUAAGCCCUAUAUGGCACAUUGUUUGGUGCCUGGCACAGAGUAAGCACUCUGUAAAUGGCAGCAAUUAUUUUUGAUGACAGCCGCAUGGUUAUAGCAUCCAUAGAACUCAGCACAUGACUGAAGAAAGUAAAAAAAAAAAAAAAAAAAAAAAAAGUCCAUGAAGUCACAUGGUUGUCACAGCCCCUGGUCCUCUCUCCUUCUGGACUUACUCUUACUAAUGCAACCUCACUUGUUGACUUGAAGGAAUGAAUGAACGUGCUGACUCUCUAUAUCUCUUUCCAGAAACUCCAGAUCACACAGCUCUGACGAUGGGAUAAUAAUUUAAGGAAGCAGGUGGCAUGAUCGAUGAAUUAAAGCUUCCCUGGAACCAACACAAGGCAAAUGACUACAGGAACAACUUCCCAGCACAAUUCAGACCGGCUCAAAUGAACUUCUGCCCCCCAAACUCAACAGCCAAUCAAUCCUAGUAUCAGCAGAAAAAAGACCUUGAAAUCCCAGUGAACUGCAGGAAAAGAUCAACUCCUACUUCCUAGCCAAGAACAAUGCCCUCACCCUGUGAACUCACAAAGCUCUCAGACUUCUCAACUAGUUAACAACAACAACAAAAAAAAUGUAAAAAGUGAACUGAAUCUGUUUAAUACAGAUUUAUUUAAUCUAAAUGAUGCAUCGGGAAAAAUUGAGAAUAAAUCCAAGCACACUCAUAAAUUUGCCAGUUUGAGAACAUAAUUAAACUUUUCUAUAAAGGAACUAAAAUACAUUUAUUAAUACCAAGAUUUUCAUGAUUGGAUCAUUGUAUUAAAUUCUAGAUUUGGAAGGGAGAUAGUCAUUUUACAAAGCAAGUUACCAUUAAAUGAAAUUUGAAAUAUCUAAUAGCAGUGUUGUGAAAUAUUUAUUUUUUUUUCAUUUUCUUUACCAAAGUAUAAUAUUUGUCAUAAAUAUCAUAAUUCAUAUCUCAUGUGGGUGCAGGCGCAUGUUACCAGUGAAAAUGUUCCAAACACAAAGCUUUAAAUGAUCACACCAGUAGAUGGUACAUUCCUAAGUAUUUCCCAGCUAUGGAAAACACCUGUUUCUUCUAUUAAUAGUUAGCUCAGUUUUCAGGCCGUGCAUUUAUUUGGAUAUAUCCUCAGCAUGAAGAGGA
Prionailurus viverrinus (fishing cat) is the source of this 1370-nucleotide long non-coding RNA. RefSeq lists it as uncharacterized. The record is from RefSeq and is a predicted model, not a curated record. The transcript is spliced from 3 exons. Lineage: Eukaryota; Metazoa; Chordata; Mammalia; Carnivora; Felidae.